CCCUUUCUCUUUGUUCCGAAGAGUUUUGUUUGAAAAGUUGCAAUCUUAUCAGGCAGUGAGUCAGGAACUUUAAAGGCACUUCGGCAUUAGGAACGACUCAAAGAUUUCAUUGAUUUCAAAACCGUUUGCAGACGUUUCGUUUCAACACUUAGGAUUUUCUACUAGGAAAUUACACGAUUCUUUGAAGGACGCACUUUUCUUCAUCAAGACCCGAAAUAUUAAAACAGAAAUUUAUAAGGGAUGAAAAACUCAUAAGUUAGGGAAAGAGGAGAAAACAUUGAAUGAAGAAGUUGAAAUGUAACCAUUUUGCCUGUGAUUGAUCGUAUAUGAGAAACAAGAUGAUGCAUGAUUGGUUAAAAAGUUAUGAAGACAUGGUCGUUCCCGUAAGUAACUAAAUAAUGCUUCUUUAAACGUUGGAUUCUUUUAAUGAUGUGAUGCAACCACUUAUGAAUUGUCUUGUUGGUUUCUACAAUAUCGGGUUAUAUUGGAGGAAGAUAUAUGCUGAUGUAUGCUUAAGUAUUGCAGCUUGAACAUCGUGUGCAGAUUCUAAAUGCGGUUGGAUUAGUGCAUUAUGUAUGUGGUUGGAUUAGUGCAUUACGUAUGAGAAUUGGAUGAGUGUUGUUAUGUCUACUUUUCAGAAAGGGAGUGUGUUCACGAUGGAUUUUUAUGCCAUUAAGUUAAGGUAUAUGUUAUCGUCCGAUUCGCCUUCUCACAUGGGAUCUGACAAGAAGUAUGAAAUUUGUAAGUAGUUGAUCAUGAAGCAAAAGAAUUUUUUUCCAGAUUCUGUGACCAUUGGUUCCAGCCUUCCAGGUUGAGUAUAGAUUACCGUUGGUUCUGUAAUUGGGACAUUGGCUUAUGCAAGAAACACUUAAUUCUAGUGAAAUUUUUGUUAGGGACCUUUUGGUUACCGUUACUCAAGUAAAAUGAGAACAUCAUUAUGGGAACGUAUAAUGCCUUCAAGGGAAAAAGUUGCAAUGGAAAGACUUGGUUGAUAACUUGAAAUUGGAUACCACAGAUACACAUGGAGAUUUGAUAAAGGAUCAAAAUAUGCAUCACACGUAUGUCAACAAUUCGGGUUGAGUACUGUCUACGAAGGAUUUCAUAAUGAAGAAGACUUGAACGUUCUCUUUGAAAAGGAUUUCUCUUGCCACUCUCUGAAAGAAAAAAAUCAUGGGUCCAUCUCAUAAUAAUAAGACCUAAAAAAAGUAUAAGGUGAAAUAAGUUAAAUACUCCAAAGUCGAUCCAUAUAUAGGAGAACAGUUUGGGACUACCUAUUUGUGCAUGUUUGAUUAGGAUGAGUGUUGUUCUUUCAACUGUUCCAAAAGGGAGUGUAUUCUCAAUGGAUUUUUAUAUCAGUAAGUUAAGGUAUGUUUGUAAAGUAGUUGAUCAUGAAGUUUGUGAUCCCUGAAAUGCAAGAUGCCUGCGCAACUUUUAUGUUGGUACUGCAUGGUUUAUGAAAUAUGACAGUUGGAACUUCGAUUGAGAUAUGAAGCCCAAAAGCACUUUUUCAAGAUGGUUCGAAAUACGAUUCACUUCCAAAAUGCGGAUCGCAUGUGUCGGAGAUGAAUGAUUAAUAUUUGCUGUUGUAAGAAAAUCUUUCCACAUCCACUAUUAAAGUACAAAGGAAUACUGAAGAUACUCGAGACCAGACGGGUGUGGUGAAUCAUGUUCAAUCGAGUAGGUGUUACAGUGGUUUUGCAUGACAUAACAAACCCAGAUUUCUUUAACAAGGCACAAUAAUGAGUAAAGGUAUUUUUUCUUGGAAUUUUUUAUAUAGCACCAUAAAUAUGAGCAUGUUAAUAUCAGUUCUUGGAUUAUAAUUUCAAAGUCACAUCAAUUGAUCAUCAAUUUAUAUGUCUUCUUGGAUUCGUUCAAAGUGGUAUGAAAUCAGUUGUUUUGUGAAAUAACGAUGGUAAUAUUAUCAAAAGAGAGGAAUAUUUGAAUCUCUGGAUUUCUCUCAGUUAUGAUAUGGAAAUUGCACGAGACGUGAAAAUUAGGAACAAA
Long non-coding RNA from Papaver somniferum (opium poppy), 2004 nucleotides. RefSeq lists it as uncharacterized. The transcript has 3 exons. The record is from RefSeq and is a predicted model, not a curated record. NCBI's taxonomy places the organism in Eukaryota, Viridiplantae, Streptophyta, Magnoliopsida, Ranunculales, Papaveraceae.